AAGGAUCUCCUCUAGCCACCUUCCAUCUCACACUUACCAUUCUCUCAUUUUCCACCAUCAGUUUCUCACUCCUCCACCGUAACUUCCAUUCACCAAUCCACCUUUGCCGCGUGGCCUGAGUCAGCCACACGUUCCUGACCACCUUCAUCAGUAUGAAAACUCUUCACGCUUCAUUUCACGCCCAACCCUAGCAUCUCUUCGAGAGCGUCUUCAGCCAGCCACCCUAGCCUCCUCACGGAUCCGCCACCGUAUGUCAUUUCUCAAAGAAACACUCAUCAGAUUCACCUUCUCCUAGCUUUUCCUCACCUUUUGACCGAUUGAUUUUAUCUUUUCCUUCCAUCUCCCGAUUAAAAGCCUAUUUGUAACCUUUACACCGAUUAAAACAUUGAUUCCUGCCAUUUCACUGAUUCAAUCGGUGAAUCUUUCUGUUUCACCGAUUAAAAUCUCACCAACCACCCUAAACCCUAGGUUCUCUCCGAUUCCGGUCUUCCGCUGCGUCUAUGGUCCGGUUCUUCAAUCGAUCCGUUCCUAUUUCUUUAGCUCGUCGCCGAUCUGCCUCAAAGUCGAACUCAUCAUGUGGUAUUCAGAGCAUUGGUUCGAGCUAUGUCCGCUUGAGCUAAGUAUCACUCUCCUUUGAUUCGCGUCUCUGAUAUGAUUUUUGGUAUCUUGUUUCUUUGAUUUACGAGUUGUUAAUUCUGUCUUGUUAUGAGUUUCAAUCUUGUAUGGAUUCAAUUCGUUCAUUGGUUGUUUUCCAUUUUUUGCGUUGUCAAUUUGUUCGAAUCAUUUGUCUCAGUUUCAUUUGGUUUUGAGUUGAAUUGUUUCGCAUUUAUUUUUGUUUAAACUUCCGUGUUGUUCAAUUUUUUUUCCUUAAAUGUCUUGUGUUGAUUUCACAUUUGUUGAGUUUAUUUUCUCUGAUUGAGAUUCACUCUUCGAAUUUUCUUGUUCUGCGUAUAGGUUUCAAUAUUGUGUAUGAGUGCUUGUCUAUGCCUUUGCGUCUUUGAUUGAGUUUUACUUUCAUUUUAUUCGGUCAAAAUUUGUGUUUGAGUCAUUUUAAUUUGAGCAUCCAUUUCUGUCGUGUGCUGUCAUGUGUAAUUGCUUCAUUUGUCUCAUGAAUUCUGUUUUUUUUUUUAAAACCGUGUGAUUCUGCAACUGUUAAAAUUGAAUGAAUUCAACAUUCUCUNCACAAUCAAAAGAGCAAUGAUCUAAGGAGCUCAAGUGCAUGAUUCGUGUUGAUCAUUCCAGAUUUGUGAUUGAAUCCAGUGCAGAUUUGUGAAUUCUGUUUCGUUGUUAUUAUUUGCUUUGAUUAACAAUUCUUGAUUCUGUGUUUGAAUAAUUCAUAUUGAGCUAAUACUUGAUGCACAUCAUAUAAGCACUGAAUUGCUUAUGCAAUUGGCUUGGUAGUCUCACUGUAAAGUUCAAUGUGCUUUCAAAGUUGCAGUUGACCGAUCUGCACAUUCAUUGUUGAGUCAUGUCUUUUGUGUUUUAAUUCUGGUUUUAGCACAUAGAUCUUUGCUAGCCAUCCAUUACUUUUUUAGCCACUUUGUGCAUAUUUUAAUUGUUAUUUUUAAGCCAAAUUCACUGUCCAAGGUCUGUUUGAAUCUCUGCUUCAAAAUUGGAUAUUAGAGAUGCUUGUUGUGAUUUGCACAUGAACUGACUCUGUCAAAUUGUUAUAAGUGGAAUCUGCCAAGACAAACCAGUCAGGCACGUCUAUAAUCAUCCACUAAACAUGUUUGUGCAAGUCUGAUUUGAAUAUACCUUGUUCUGUGCAUUUUUCACUGUUCAAUUCCUCCAAUUUUGAGCAUCUUUUGUUGGUUUUAAAUCAGUUGCUGCAUGAUGGGUGUCACGGCCCAUACAAAUUUGAUUGCAUAUGAGAAAUGCAGUAUAGCUAGGGAAUGACCACUAGGUCGUCUCCCAAGGACCAACUGCGGUUCAAAAUCAAGUCAAACACGAAGGUGGGGGGGGGUUGUGAAAGGUUUGCGUGGCGAAUGCAAAAAAAUUAAAAUUAAAUUAAAUUAAAACGCAGAUGUAAAAACGUAAUUAAAUUCAAUUAAAACGAAAUUAAAUGCAACAACACAUUUCACCAUGCAUGAAAAUGAAAUUAAAAUAGUAAAAACGAAACUGCUACAGUAAAUACGAAAAUUCAUGCUAGAACUGGACAACUCUGACCUUUGCUCAAUGUUUUAUCCAUAACGUUUUCUACAGAGCUCUAAAUGAGAUGAGGUUUUUUUUGCUGGAAAGUAGACUCAAUUAUCUUUCAUGUGAUAUAUAAAACGUAGCAUUUGGACCUCUGGUAUGAUUGCAGUUAUAUUUCUAAAAUCGAGUCCAGAGAGUGAAAAUGCUAAACCAAAUACUAGACUAAACAAAUAUCUAAACACAGUUAAAUUAAAUUAAAUGCAAAACUAAAUUAGAGAAACUAAAAAGCAACUAAUCUUACUAUGCAAAUUAAUUCAAAACAAAAGAAAUUAACAAAUAUGCUUUUUAACAAAAGAAAUUAACAAACAUGUUUUUUCUUCUAUCAUUCACUUGGCCAAGUGGUCUUUCUCCAAGAAAGCAAAUUGCAUAAACCUUUUUCACAUGGCUGCGCCAAUUCAUGCUUCAAAAAUGAAUUUAAAUUCUCCUCUCCAUUGGAUUUAGGUCUACCUUGUCCCAAGUAAAAGCCACGUGCACUCCCAAAAUUAAAUCAACCUUCCCAAUUGCUAAAAGCUAAAUUGGAUAAAUUCUUUCUUCCAAAAAAAAUAGUGACUGUGACACACUUGUACCUAUGCUUCAUCUUCCAAAAUAAAUGCUUCUCACAAUUGAAAAUCCCAAAAAAAAAAAAUGCUUCCAGCCGUGACACUCUCCAACUAACGUGAAUGUUCAUUUGUUCCAAAGGAAGUCAACGUGCUUUCAACAAUUUCCAACACCAAAGACAAUUCAUCCAAGCUUCUAAUCUACCUACCAUGAUGUGACAAUGCUUCUAUUAAAUAAAAUAAAAUGGAAACAUUCUCUCCCCAUCAAUCACCGUGAAUUUUGCUUCCAACAAGAAAGUAAGCUUGUAAAAAAAAAGAAUUGGUUCCAUGUAAUCCUCUCCCCAAAACCGUGGCACAUGAGGUAAGCAACAUUCUUCAUUGAAAGUAAACAUUCUUCCAACCGAGACUUCCUUUCACAAAAUCCCAUUUCAUUCUCUUCCUUCAAAAACAAUGACCAUGAGCUUUAUCCCAAUCAAUGGACCCACACUCACCUAAUUUACUUUUCAAUUCAUAAAAACUAAACAAAAGACUACUACCUUCAUUUUAGGAACCGUGACAUUGUUGCACCACAUGCUCAAAUCUCAAAAUAAAAGAAAAGAAAAGCUAGCUACAAUGUCCCAUCAUCACAAGCUACAACCUUUUCCAGUGCAAAAAGCUAAAUCUUAUUUUUUUUCAUUCAAUGACAACAUAAAGGUAAGGUUUUAGCUCACAAAGGAAAGAAACAAUUCUAAAACUCAAUAAAAAGAAAACCAAUAGCGUGUGAUGGUUGCAGCACUUCCAACACCAUGAGCUUCUCGAAAUUCUUCAACCAUAAUCCAUGUAAAGUGUGGUGCCCAUUUUUUUCUCCAAAGAAAAUUGCCGAGAGUAUGUGUUCAGAGAGAAUAAAUGAGGGCUGGACACACCAUUCCUAGGACCGUGAGUUCCUUAAAAUAUAGGGUGGGGUCCACCCAAAAACCCUAGGGUAGGACAUGUGUCACCAAAAUUUGGGUUCCAACAUAUUUUUAAUGGCCCAAUGUGCAAAGGUUGUCUAAAAAAACUAGACUUUUAAAUUACACAUUGAUUAAUUCCAAACCACUAAAUUAAAAUAUAACUAAUUCUAAAUUUUCCAUGCAGAGAGUCUUGAAUUUAUUUGUUGUCCUCCAAAUGUCCCAAAUUGUGUUUUCAAAAUUUUCCCUGAAAAUAAUAAUGCAAAUAAUUAGCUCAGAAAAUUCAAAUUAAUUAAAAUUGGAAUUUCCGGUCAAAUUAAGCAUAAUUAGGAAAACGGGAAAAUACCGGACAAUUAAGCACAAUUCCCUGAUUAAUUCUAGCACAAUAAACUAAGUGAAAUCAAUAAAAUAUCGACUCAUCACUGCAGCAGAGUUUUGUUUGUGUUUAUUAAAACUGAAAUGGUGCAUUGCUUACGGGUUACAGCAAAAGCUUAGGUCCAUAUCACAGAACUGAAACAUUCAAAAGAAUUUGGAAUUCAAUUAAAAGGCUAAAUGGACAGUGUAACCAAUUUUCCUAAAACUAAAUUACCAAAGUCAGAAAUCCUGCACCAAAACUGAAUUGUCAUAGUGACAUUUUCACAAACACUUUCUCACUUCUGCAUAACACAUCUGAUUUGAAUUUCUUUUUGACUUGUGAAUGUUUUCUUGCUUUAUUCAUUUAUUCUAGUACCAAUCAUAGGUUCUGUUUGAGUGCCUCCCUUCUAAAUAGCCUUUUUUUAUUUGCUUGUCUUGUUGGCUAUCAUUCAUUGCCUUGUUCCUAAAUUCUUUUGAGUGGUUGAUCCAUGCUGUUUAUUCCAUCACCUUGUUUAGCCUACCAAUUUUUAUGAAUUGAGAAAUCUGAUGCUAUUAUGGAUUAUUGAAAAGGAAAGGUAUUUGUGAAUGGUAGCAUCCUAGGUGGUGGAGAUCCACAAGAUUCUUUGACUUAGACUGAAAAAAAAUUCUUCUUAAGCCUACCUCUGAGUGUGUUAGAGAGAAACCUGAGUGAUGGGAGUUUUGUAAGGCUGAUUUUAGUCUAACUUGCUUGGCAAUUUGAGAGAGAUUUUAUUGCAAUUAACUGGCUGUUUGUUCACUGUGCAGCAACAGGAAAUUGAGUGAUCACAUUUUAAACUGACAUUGCAUUCAUUUAGAUUAUAAACUAACUCUGAAAUCAUUGAGAUUGUACUGUUUUGAAUGUGAUUAUGACUUCUUGGAUUAGUUGAAUAUUGUUGCAUGCCACCUAAUUAGUUGUGUUAGUCGUGCAUGAACUGAUUUGUUUGGAAUAGUUAGACUUUAAAUCUGUUGUUUGGAUUAAAACUGAUUUCAAUUACUUUAACAGCCAUCCCUGAUUUGAAAGCUGACCAACCAGUUUAUCAUUGCAUGUUCCAUUUUGUUUCUGGGUUGGCAAAUUGGCAUAUUAUUUCUGUAUUGCAUUGGAUUGUCAGAUUUUAAAUUAGAACUGAGCAUUGCAGGGUGUAAUAAUAGAAGUUGGGAUUAGUUUAGUGGAGCAGGCCAGAAGCAACCAUCUGAACAGGGAAGUUGAUUGAUUAAAUUGAUCGUGUUAUGACUUGCACUUUGAUUAAUGUUGUAAUCUGCUGAAUUGAGUGUGAAUAUUUGAUUGCAGUUUGUACUUUGAGAGCAAAGAGAAAUUCCUUUAGCUGCAUCAAGUGUACAAGUCUAAGACCGGAUUGGACUUCUUGAUCUGAUCAAGAGAGUGAAGCAACGAAGUUGAGCACGUGAACCCUUCAUGUAGAAGAAUGGAACCAGGUCUGUAGCAGCAUCGUCAUUAUACAAGAGUAUUGAUACCAAAAACAAGUUGCGCAUGAGAUACUUGAAGGAUGGAAUAUCUUUGGGCUGGACUUUAGCAGCAAGGGACUUUAGCAACAGUGGGCCGUAGUGCAGAUUAAUUUUCUUUGUAAUUGUUUCUUUUACUUUGUUUUGUGUAAUUUGGUCUGUAAUAAGCUUCAGUUAGCCUUGGUUUUUCUCCUUUUGAUUUCAUUUUAAUUUGUAAAUGGCCUUUUAUAAAGUCCAAGUAGAUUUGGAGAGUUCUUAGUACUUUUCCAACUCUUGGCAACCUUUUCUUGAUUGUUUUCUUUUAAUUUUUAGCUUAGACUGGUGAGUGUGUCUUGUUAGCCAAAGCUACAAGCCUCACCAUAGAAUUAGAAUUUGAUGGUCUUUAGUUUGUGUUUCGUUUAGGGGUGUAGGAUAAUUAGAGUCCGUUUAGAGUCCGCAUUGUAUGUCUUUUAUUUUCUUUAAUUGUUUUUUUGUGAGUCAAGUAUACUUUGUUUUUUUUAAAAGUAAUUUUACUUUAAAGGGUUUUUAAGAACAAAGGAUGUCUAGGAUUAGUGAAUUUGAGAAGCAACAUACUCUUAGGAAAAUAAUGAAACAAAUUAGGAAUUUGGAAGAAAGCUUGAAUCAAGAUAGGUUUAAUAGGGAGGUGCAAACCUCAAUUAUCCAAAAUAAACUUAGAGUCAUGCAAGAGGAACAAAAGAAUCAGAUAAAUCAAGAGCUUUUAAGAGAACUCAUUCAAGAGGGUAGAUCAUUCAUUAAUAGUUUAAGUGGAUUUUAUUGUCAAGAGAGAGAAUAUAGAGAUAAACUCAUGAAGUUCUUGAAUGAGGUAAGUAAAAGAAACAUUGAUAGAGAACGUAGGCAACAACAAGAAAGAAUGGAAAGACAAGAGAGAAGGAAAGAGAGAAAGAGAGAAGAAGAGAGAGGAAGAGAAAGGGAGAGAAGAAGAGAGCAAGCAAGGUUAGAAGAGGAAGAAAGAAGAGAGCAACAUAGGAUAGAAGAGGAAGAAAAAGAGAGAAUAAGAAGAGAGAAAGACCAAAAGGAAGAGGAAGAAAAGAGAGAGGAGGAAGAGAGACUACAAAAGAAAGAGCAGGAAGAAAUUGAAAGGAAGAAAAGGGAAGAAAAGAAAUUGAUGACAACAUCUCCUAAUCUAGAACCCAAAAGGGGAGGUUUUCUAUCCUUUAACUUUCCUUCAAUUGAAAUUAAAUGUUCCAAAUUNUUUUGUUCUCAAAUCCAAUUUAUUAAUUUUUAUUUUCAAGUCUUAUUAUUUUAAUUCACGCGAAAGAGAAAGCCAUUCGAGUCUCUUGGGAAAACAAUACUUGGUCUUAACAUUUAUAUUACUUGUACGAUUUGGUACACUUGCAAAUUUGUCAACAAGUUUUUGGCGCCGUGGCUGGGGACUCGAGGUUUAUUUUUCUAGUAAUGUGAAUUGAUUGAAUUUGACUUGAUUUUAUGUUUAUUUUUAUUUUUGUUCUAAUAAAUGUUUUCUAGGGUUUUGUGCUUAAGUUUUGCAGAAUGCAGUUUGAUCAAGAAUUUGAUUAUAUGGGCACUCAAUUCCACCAAAAUAAUUUCAACCAUUGGUGGGAACCUCGUUCUAACAUAUAUUAAAGGCAAAUUGGGCAACAUUCCUCUUCGCGAAAAGAAACUGAUGACUUGGGCCCAAGCCUAAUUUCCUUAGUCUAGUAUUUCUUUUACUUGUAUUAGACAUGUGCACAAUGUGUUAGGCAUGUGGCACAUUUAGUCCUAUAUAUAGGCAUGCUAACAUAUCUUGUAAUCACUUUUGAGAUAAAUGAAUUGUUUUUCUGUUGAGAAUCACUCCAGAGAAAUUCUACCUUGAAAGUCAAGACUAGAGAAUCCCCAAGGAUCUCCUCUAGCCACCUUCCAUCUCACACUUACCAUUCUCUCAUUUUCCACCAUCAGUUUCUCACUCCUCCACCGUAACUUCCAUUCUCCAAUCCACCUUUGUCGCGUGGCCUGAGUCAGCCACACGUUCCUGACCACCUUCAUUAGUAUGAAAACUCUUCACGCUUCAUUUCACGCCCAACCCUAGCAUCUCUUUGAGAGCGUCUUCAGCCAGCCACCCUAGCCUCCUCACGGAUCCGCCACCGUAAGUCAUUUCUCACCAAAACACUCCUCAGAUUCACCUUCUCCUAGCUUUUCCUCACCUUUUGACCGAUUGAUUUUAUCUUUUCCUUCCAUCUCCCGAUUGAAANCCUAUUUGGAACCUUUACACCGAUUAAAACAUUGAUUCCUCCCAUUUCACUGAUUCAAUCGGUGAAUCUUUUCGUUUCACUGAUUAAAAUCUCACCAACCACG
Molecule: long non-coding RNA, 7795 nt
Filed under: Vigna radiata
Lineage: Eukaryota; Viridiplantae; Streptophyta; Magnoliopsida; Fabales; Fabaceae
Description: long non-coding RNA (VRAD_LNC011469)
Source: RNAcentral